RNAcentral lists this transfer RNA (69 nucleotides) under Paracoccus sp. (in: a-proteobacteria). RNAcentral's name for it is "tRNA-Arg". It matches the Rfam family "tRNA". Rfam says of the family: Transfer RNA (tRNA) molecules are approximately 80 nucleotides in length. Their secondary structure includes four short double-helical elements and three loops (D, anti-codon, and T loops). Lineage: Bacteria; Pseudomonadati; Pseudomonadota; Alphaproteobacteria; Rhodobacterales; Paracoccaceae. The record is from RNAcentral.
AAAGACAUAACUCAAUCGGUAGAGUAGCAGAUUUCUCAUCUGUGGGUUGCGGGUUCGAGUCCCGCUGUC